UGUGAUGUUAUGUUGGAAUUCGGAAUAAAUUAUUUCCCCAACUCCAGCUAAUAUCACGAA
This 60-nucleotide microRNA precursor is filed under the name Caenorhabditis brenneri. RNAcentral describes it as "microRNA cbn-mir-7629 precursor". Lineage: Eukaryota; Metazoa; Nematoda; Chromadorea; Rhabditida; Rhabditidae. The record is from miRBase by way of RNAcentral.